Molecule: long non-coding RNA, 554 nt
Organism: Leptinotarsa decemlineata (Colorado potato beetle)
Lineage: Eukaryota; Metazoa; Arthropoda; Insecta; Coleoptera; Chrysomelidae
Source: RefSeq, a predicted model, not a curated record
UUCGUCAUGAUCAAAACAAUAGAAUUGAAUAAUACUAAUUGAUUUCCCUCUGAUGUUCGUUCAGCUGCCGAUUCAUAUUUUUUCACAUGAAUUUAAAUUUUCCCAGGUAAUUGGAGGAUAUUUCUCAAAAGGAGGAUGUCCCAGAACUUCACGAAUCGAUAUGGGCACUGAAAAUGAAGUAAUGGAGAGGAUAUAAAAAGUCUUUAAUGAAAGUGAUCUUGACCAAGUAUGUUUUGAAUGGAGUAUUCAUAGAAUACGGAAAACAAGAAAUGCUAUUGCUCCAGCAGGGAGACCAAGUAUAUUGUAUGCCAUGCCUUCCCUUUAUGGAGUUACAAAUCACCUCAUCAAGAUUCCAUCAUUCGCGUUUAAACAUUUUUCGUCGGAGUGUACAUAUCCCCGGAUAGCCUGUGAUGAAGAUUUUUGGAAAUUAUGUUCAAUUUUUUUGAAAAAAAUAAUUACACAAGGUCCUUAGAUUCUUAUGCCACAAUUGAUUCAUACAUUAACCUGAGAAGUGAAUUAAUUAUGUUAUCUGAAUAAAUUUUAGAUUGAUAUUA